This 522-nucleotide ribosomal RNA is filed under the name uncultured Glomus. RNAcentral describes it as "SSU rRNA". It matches the Rfam family "Eukaryotic small subunit ribosomal RNA", at positions 569 to 1092 of the family's 1831-position model. The record is from RNAcentral. RNAcentral also lists the same sequence under 3 other names. Lineage: Eukaryota; Fungi; Glomeromycota; Glomeromycetes; Glomerales; Glomeraceae.
AGCAGCCGCGGUAAUUCCAGCUCCAAUAGCGUAUAUUAAAGUUGUUGCAGUUAAAAAGCUCGUAGUUGAAUUUCGGGGUUAGUAGGUUGGUCAUGCCUCUGGUAUGUACUGGUCUCACUGAUUCCUCCUUCCUGAUGAACCUUAAUGCCAUUUAUUUGGUGUUUUGGGGAAUUUGGACUGUUACUUUGAAAAAAUUAGAGUGUUUAAAGCAAGCUAACGCUUGAAUACAUUAGCAUGGAAUAAUGAAAUAGGACGUUCGAUCCUAUUUUGUUGGUUUCUAGGAUUGACGUAAUGAUUAAUAGGGAUAGUUGGGGGCAUUAGUAUUCAAUUGUCAGAGGUGAAAUUCUUGGAUUUAUUGAAGACUAACUACUGCGAAAGCAUUUGCCAAGGAUGUUUUCAUUAAUCAAGAACGAAAGUUAGGGGAUCGAAGACGAUCAGAUACCGUCGUAGUCUUAACCAUAAACUAUGCCGACUAGGGAUCGGAUGAUGUUAAUUUUUUAAUGACUCAUUCGGCGCCUUACG